GGAUGUAAGGGCGAUCUGGCUGCGACAUGUCACCCCAUUGAUCGCCAGGGUUGAUUCAGCUGAUCUGGCUGGCUAGGCAGGUGUCCCCUUCCUCCCUCACUGCUCCAUGUGUGUCCUUCCCAAAGCUGCGCGCUCGGUUAAAGAGGAUGACCAUCCCAGAUAGAGGAGGACCAUUCUUCGGUCAAGAGUAUACGAGUAGCUGCUCUCCCCUGCUAGAACCUCCAAACAAGCUCUCAAAGAGUCUCACCAAUAGAAACAAAAGUAAAUACAUUUUUUUUGGCAGUAUUGGGGCUUUAACUCGGCCAUGCACUUGUUAGACAGGUAUUCUA
Molecule: small nuclear RNA, 329 nt
Filed under: Castor canadensis (American beaver)
Lineage: Eukaryota; Metazoa; Chordata; Mammalia; Rodentia; Castoridae
Description: 7SK RNA (ENSCCNG00000027096.1)
Rfam family: 7SK RNA
About the family: 7SK was discovered as an abundant small nuclear RNA in the mid-70s but a possible function has only recently been suggested. Two independent studies have found that 7SK RNA binds the CDK9/cyclin T complex (known as elongation factor P-TEFb). P-TEFb activates transcription by phosphorylating the C-terminal domain of RNA polymerase II.
Source: RNAcentral